RNAcentral lists this ribosomal RNA (1344 nucleotides) under uncultured bacterium. RNAcentral describes it as "bacterial SSU rRNA". It matches the Rfam family "Bacterial small subunit ribosomal RNA", at positions 28 to 1381 of the family's 1533-position model. The record is from RNAcentral.
GAUGAACGUUAGCGGCAGGCUUAACACAUGCAAGUCGAGGGGUAGAAGUCUUCGGGCUUUGAGACCGGCGCACGGGUGCGUAACGCGUAUGCAAUCUGCCUUCCACAAAGGAAUAGCCCAGAGAAAUUUGGAUUAAUGCCUUAUAGCAUUACGACUUGGCAUCAAGAUGUAAUUAAAGAUUUAUCGGUGGAAGAUGAGCAUGCGUCCCAUUAGCUAGUUGGUAAGGUAACGGCUUACCAAGGCGAUGAUGGGUAGGGGUCCUGAGAGGGAGAUCCCCCACACUGGUACUGAGACACGGACCAGACUCCUACGGGAGGCAGCAGUGAGGAAUAUUGGUCAAUGGGCGCAAGCCUGAACCAGCCAUGCCGCGUGCAGGAUGAAGCAUCUAUGGCGUGUAAACUGCUUUUAUACAGGAAGAAACAACUCUACGUGUAGAGUCUUGACGGUACUGUAGGAAUAAGGAUCGGCUAACUCCGUGCCAGCAGCCGCGGUAAUACGGAGGAUCCAAGCGUUAUCCGGAAUCAUUGGGUUUAAAGGGUCCGUAGGCGGCCCUGUAAGUCAGUGGUGAAAUCUCCCCGCUCAACGGGGAAACGGCCAUUGAUACUGCAGGGCUUGAAUUAUUGGGAAGUAACUAGAAUAUGUAGUGUAGCGGUGAAAUGCUUAGAUAUUACAUGGAAUACCAAUUGCGAAGGCAGGUUACUAUCAAUAUAUUGACGCUGAUGGACGAAAGCGUGGGUAGCGAACAGGAUUAGAUACCCUGGUAGUCCACGCCGUAAACGAUGGAUACUAGCUGUUCGGGGCAACCUGAGUGGCUAAGCGAAAGUGAUAAGUAUCCCACCUGGGGAGUACGUUCGCAAGAAUGAAACUCAAAGGAAUUGACGGGGGCCCGCACAAGCGGUGGAGCAUGUGGUUUAAUUCGAUGACACGCGAGGAACCUUACCAAGGCUUAAAUGUAGAUUGACAGGACCGGAAACGGUUUUUUCUUCGGACAAUUUACAAGGUGCUGCAUGGUUGUCGUCAGCUCGUGCCGUGAGGUGUCAGGUUAAGUCCUAUAACGAGCGCAACCCCUGUCGUUAGUUGCCAGCGAGUCAUGUCGGGAACUCUAACGAGACUGCCAGUGCAAACUGAGAGGAAGGUGGGGAUGACGUCAAAUCAUCACGGCCCUUACGCCUUGGGCUACACACGUGCUACAAUGGACGGUACAGAGAGCAGCCACUGGGCGACCAGGAGCGAAUCUACAAAACCGUUCACAGUUCGGAUCGGAGUCUGCAACUCGACUCCGUGAAGCUGGAAUCGCUAGUAAUCGGAUAUCAGCCAUGAUCCGGUGAAUACGUUCCCGGGCCU